UCCUCAUUUUGAGCCUGAAUUUGCAACAACACUUGUUCUUGUGCCUCAAUAUUCUGUGCAAUGUCCUCACAGAUUUGAUCAUAUUUGGCUAUCUCUUUCCUAAAAAGAUCUUCAUAGGAACCAGUGGAUGUCAUCAACUUUGGUAGUAUGUCAUCCUUCCUUUUCAUCUCCUUGAGCAUAUCUUCUAGACCUGCCCUUUGAGCACCAAGAAUCUCCAAUUGCCUCAAGCUCUGCUUCAGAGAACCCACUAUAGCAUCUUCAUUGGCAUCCAAAGACAUUAUUGGCCUAG
RNAcentral lists this unclassified non-coding RNA (289 nucleotides) under Hevea brasiliensis (rubber tree). Lineage: Eukaryota; Viridiplantae; Streptophyta; Magnoliopsida; Malpighiales; Euphorbiaceae. The record is from RNAcentral.